GCCUGGGUGGCCCAGUCAGCUGAGCAUCUGACUUUGGCUCAGAACAUGAUCUCACAGCUCGUGGGUUCGAGCCCCACGUCGGGCC
Molecule: transfer RNA, 85 nt
Filed under: Felis catus (domestic cat)
Lineage: Eukaryota; Metazoa; Chordata; Mammalia; Carnivora; Felidae
Rfam family: tRNA
About the family: Transfer RNA (tRNA) molecules are approximately 80 nucleotides in length. Their secondary structure includes four short double-helical elements and three loops (D, anti-codon, and T loops). Further hydrogen bonds mediate the characteristic L-shaped molecular structure. tRNAs have two regions of fundamental functional importance: the anti-codon, which is responsible for specific mRNA codon recognition, and the 3' end, to which the tRNAs corresponding amino acid is attached (by aminoacyl-tRNA synthetases). tRNAs cope with the degeneracy of the genetic code in two manners: having more than one tRNA (with a specific anti-codon) for a particular amino acid; and 'wobble' base-pairing, i.e. permitting non-standard base-pairing at the 3rd anti-codon position.
Source: Rfam by way of RNAcentral